Molecule: long non-coding RNA, 2387 nt
Organism: Capsicum annuum
Lineage: Eukaryota; Viridiplantae; Streptophyta; Magnoliopsida; Solanales; Solanaceae
Exons: 3
Source: RefSeq, a predicted model, not a curated record
UAUCUGGAAGGAGUUGAAGAGGGUUUUCUUGAAAAGAGUUUUCUCACUAUCCUAAGUGUUGCAGCUAAAAGACGAAAUGUAUAACAUCAAGAAACUAAGUAUAGAAUCUUCGUACGAGUCAUAGUUAAGGUUCAACAGAAAGAUGAAGUAAUGUCCUAAUCACAGGUACCUGACGAGAGUUUGUUAGACAUCUUCCGUAGGUCUUUAAAUGCAAAUACCAAGGCAUAGCUGAUGCUCUUACUGGAGGAGCUUUUACGAGUCACACUUGUGCAGAUGCAACAGUGAUGCUCAAUAGAGUCACGAAAACCAACAUGGCAUGGCACACGUGGUAAUCUAAAGUUUCUGUUGGAUUAACCAAGUGCAAAUUUUGAGUUACAUUGGAUGACAUUGGAUGCUUACAUUCUUUCGAAGAGUUAACACUUAGCGGAAAUAGUUUUGAGUAGUUUCUUCAGAGUAUAGCCCAACUUGGUGCUCUUCGAUUCUUGGACUUAUCACAUUGCAAGAAGAUUAAUUUUGAACUUAUCGUGGGGAUGAAAAACUUGGAGACUUUAAAUCUCAGUUACUGCAAUCUAAUAGAUGGAGAACUUCCGAAUGACAUUGGAUGCUUAUCCUCUUUGAAAAGGUUGAAUCUCAGUGGAAAUAAUUAUGGGCAUUUGCCUCGAAGCAUAGCCAACUUGGUGCUCUUCGGUGCUUGGACGUAUCACAUUGCAAGAGGCUUACACAGCUGCCAGAAUUACCAGUUCAAUUAGAUACAAUUGAAGCAGAUUGGACAAAUUAUUGGAUCUGUAAUUCGUUAUUUCAGAAUAUCUCAUUAUUGCAGUAUGGCAUCUCUGCUUCAGACUCCUUGUCACUAAGAGUGAUUACAGGUUUGCAGUGGCAUGGGAUGCCAACGUUUCCAUACAAGGGAAUUGUUGGUGUAUCAGUCUUUUUGCCUAAGAAUUGGUGCAUACAUGAUAGCUUCUUGGGAUUUGCUGUAUGUUGCAAUGGCGAAUUAACUGACGUCACAGCUCACUUGAUUCCUUUAUCUGAUGAUGGGAUGUCGUGCAUCACCCGGAAACUUGCCUUUUCAAAAUAUCUAGGAUAUUAUGGUACUCAUUUUUUCUUGAUACCUUUUGCUGGUUUAUGGGAUAUAUCUAAUUAAAUGGAAAAACAACAAAUGACUAUAGGCACAUCAUGUUAUCUUCCUCCGAAAAAAUUAAUUAUAUAUUUCGUUUGUUGUAUAAAGAUGAACUAGGCGUUUAGUCCUUGUUGCAAAUAAGGGAAAAUAAUGAUCAACAUUGUCUUGGGACAAGGAGGAGUAGAUUUGAUGAUUGUGAACACCAUGAUGAAACCAGUCGCUCCUGAUUCUUUCUUCUUUCCCCUAUUAAGGAGCUCAUUGAUGGGUGAUUUGCAUAUCGUCAGUGAGUUUUUAGUAGCAGAUGAAUACUUCAAUGCUAUUUCCUUUGUUAUCAUUUUCUUGUCGAAAGGUAAUGAUCAUGCUCUAACUUUAUCAAUACACUUUCGCUACAUGUGGGGUACUUCCUUAUAUCAUCAUUCCUUCAAACUACUCUCCUAUAAUCUCCAUCAGAAACUGAUGCUCACCUUUUUACUAGUCAAAUAAUUUUCAUUAGUAGAUGGGGAUGCCUAUGCAGAGAAAAGGCAAACUGCUAUUACAUCAGAUAAAUGACAAAUUGCUACUGUGGUAAAGUUAAGGUCUUAUCAUCUAUCAAAUUUCUUGCAAAAACAUUGAGAGAUAGAUAGUUAAGCGAAAAAGUUACUUCGCGGCUCUUUGCUCUCAAGACUCUUCGCACUAAUUAAUGAUUCAAUCUGAUUUUGUGAUCACUCCUUUUGGAUUAGGAGUAGACUGUUUUUUAAAUCUUAUGGUCUGCUGUCUUGUUGACAUUGAAUUGAUAAAUUAAGGUGUAACAUCCAUAUUUGGAUUACUUGUAAGUGGUUCUAACACUAUUUUUAGUCUGGUUUUCGAUUAUUUUUGCAGUGCAAACUGACAAGCGAAUACAACAGAUCAAUUAGACUCUUGGCCUGAGAAAGAGAUUCGUGAAAGAACUUGGAUGAAUAUGUGCAAAAGAGGAAAACUUUGCCAUAAUGGCCGAUGAAAGAAGCAUUGCAACUAUUUGUAAGUUCCCUCACAUCAAAAAGCAAACGGAGCAAAGGAGAAUUAUUUCCGAUAAUCAAACGUACCUCCACUGAUAGAGCCAACUAUUCUUCUGUUGGAAUGUAGAGCUCAAAUACUUUCUCUGCCACCACAAAGUUCUUCAUUGAUUCUGAUCCACUGUCAAAUCUGCGUGUGGUACCAAUACGAAGAACAGUUUUUUAAUGUCAGAAUUAGAGUUGUGUGACAUUGCAGAGAAUUAGAAUCAAACAAGAUGAACACACACAUAGCUAUAGAA